GUGAUUCUGGUUGAUCCUGCCAGUAGUCAUAUGCUUGUCUCAAAGGCUAAGCCAGCAUGUCUAAGUAUAAAUGUUAUACAGUGAAACUGCGAAUGGCUCAUUAAAACAGUUAUAGUUUAUUUGAUAAUCGAAUUUACAUGGAUAACCGUGGUAAUUCAGAGUAAUACAUGCUGGUUAGCCUGACUUUUGAGGAAGGGCUGUAUUUUUAGAUAACAAACCAAUAUUCCUUGUGUCUAUUGUGAUGACUCAUAAUACUGAUCGAAUCGCAUGGACGUUGUCCGCGAUAAAUCAUUCAAGUUUCUGCCCCAUCAGCUUUCGAUGGUAGUGUAUUGGACUACCAUGGCUUUAACGGGUAACGGAGGAUUAGGGUUCGAUUCCGGAGAGGGAGCCUGAGAAACGGCUACCACAUCUAAGGAAGGCAGCAGGCGCGUAAAUUACCCAAUCCUGACUCAGGGAGGUAGUGACAAGAAAUAACGGACCGAAGCCUAUGUUUCGGGAUUGCAAUGAGUUGAAUUUAAACCCCUUUACGAGGAUCAAUUGGAGGGCAAGUCUGGU
RNAcentral lists this ribosomal RNA (555 nucleotides) under uncultured eukaryote. RNAcentral describes it as "SSU rRNA". It matches the Rfam family "Eukaryotic small subunit ribosomal RNA", at positions 1 to 565 of the family's 1831-position model. The record is from RNAcentral.